Molecule: unclassified non-coding RNA, 343 nt
Filed under: soil metagenome
Description: partial contains 5.8S ribosomal RNA, internal transcribed spacer 2, and large subunit ribosomal RNA
Rfam family: 5.8S ribosomal RNA (bases 1-120)
Source: RNAcentral
GAUGAAGAACGUAGUGAAAUGCGAUAAGUAAUGUGAAUUGCAGAAUUCAGUGAAUCAUCGAAUCUUUGAACGCACAUUGCGCCCGCUAGUAUUCUGGCGGGCAUGCCUGUCCGAGCGUCAUUUCAACCCUCAAGCCCCCGGGCUUGGUGUUGGGGAUCGGCGAGCCUCCGCGCCCGCCGUCCCCUAAAUCUAGUGGCGGUCUCGCUGUAGCUUCCUCUGCGUAGUAGCACACCUCGCACUGGGAAACAGCGCGGCCACGCCGUUAAACCCCCAACUUCUGAAAGUUUGACCUCGGAUCAGGUAGGAAUACCCGCUGAACUUAAGCAUAUCAAUAAGCGGAGGA